AUGCGGCUUCAAUGCCUUAUACCAGCACUUAUACACCCUAUGCAGUCAGGUUUUCUACCCGGAAGGUGCAUCUUGGAGUACUUUGCGCUAGCUGCGGAAUUGGUCCAGCAGGCUCACAAAAGGAAGAAGCCCAUGGUUAUGCUAAAACUAGAUUUCCAUAAGGCAUUUGAUACUGUCAGUUGGGAUGCCCUGCAGCAGCUUUUUGUGGCCAGGGGAUUCGGACAACGCUGGACCAAGUGGAUCUCCACCAUCUUCCACUCCAGCUCCGCUCAGAUCAUGAUGAAUGGCCAACUGGGUGAGAAAAUCAGGUCCAAAUCCGGUCUAAGACAGGGAGAUGCCCUCUCGCCAUACCUUUUUAUACUAGUUGCAGAUAUUCUGCAACAGCUCUGCGAGAAGGAAUAUAGGAGUGGUGUACUCAAACACCCUCUUGGGGUAGAUGGCCCCUUCCCGGUCCUUCAGUACGCGGACGACACGCUCUUGCUUGUGCAAGGAGAUAUGCAGCAAAUCACCAUCAUCAAAAGGAUUCUGGACAGCUUUGCAAACUUCACCGGGUUGACUAUCAAUUACCAGAAGAGCACCUUUGUUCCAAUCUGCCUGGACCAGGCAACCCGUCAGCAAGUUGCUAGCAUCCUUCAAUGUCAACCAGUGCCCUUCCCCUGCACAUACCUGGGGCUACCCCUGUCUACUCACAAGAUCAUUCAUAGAGUUGACCGAAGAUUGUCAAGUUGGCUGGCCACUUUUCUGUCAUGGGGAGGAAGACUCACCCUGAUCAACGCCGUCCUCGCAUUCAUGCCCAGCUACUUCAUGGGGUGUUUCUUAUGGCCCAAACAGUCCCUCGACAGCCUGGAAAGAAUUCUGAGAGGUUUCUUAUGGCAAGGGAAGAAUCAUGCACUGGGGGGCCAAUGUCGCGUCGCUUGGGACUUUGUCAAGCUUCCAAGGCAGAAUGGCGGUCUAGGGGUUUGUGAUGUUGCUUCUGACAACAAAGCAAUGGUCUGCAAGGUUUUGGCGCAGAUUCUUCAACACAACAAUGUACCCUGUUACAAGUGGUUCGCAUCAAGGUUCUGUCGCAUGAGCUUUCCUACCAGCCCGCAAAGUGGAGACACUGCUAUUUGGCGCUGUCUGAAGUCAUGCAUGCUCCUAGUUCAGCAGGCCACAAGAUGUGAGCUCGGCGAUGGCACUCACAUCUUGUUCUGGUGCGACUUAUGGCUCGAUUGCGGAUGA
RNAcentral lists this ribosomal RNA (1221 nucleotides) under Triticum aestivum (bread wheat). Its description in RNAcentral is "partial small subunit ribosomal RNA". The record is from RNAcentral. Lineage: Eukaryota; Viridiplantae; Streptophyta; Magnoliopsida; Poales; Poaceae.